GGGUUUCAUACUUUCAUUCUCAUCCUCAUUAUCCGCCCCCAUCUUUCCUUCCCCAUUUCUCUCUCCGUUUUCUAGAAACCCUAAACUCGCAACGCCGCUUCCCCCUGUACAAACACACAUUCUUAUGAAAUCAGAAAGAUGAAGCUUCAGUGUAGUUGUAGUCUGUGGAAAAAAGACCCAGGUAGUUUUUUUAUGGCUGAAUGUUUUCAUAGAUCUACCGGACCACUAUCGACUUUGCAGAUCUGAGUUUUUAGCUACAUUCAAGAACGGUACAAACAACAUUCUUGCGUCAAUCAGAAGGAUGAAGCUUCGGUGUAGUUGAAAUCAGGAAACAAGCAGAGCUAGGGAAGAUGACAAGCCCGGAUCUGAUAGGUUUGCUUCGGUAUAGUUGCAAUCGGUGGAUGAAGAUGGAAAUCAGAUGAAGAUGGAGUGAUGGAGAUGACAAGCAAAACUUUGCAGAUCUGAGUUUUUUUUGGGUAAAUUGUUUAGUGGAUGAUUGUGGCAUUAGGUUCACCUGAGAUGUGAUUUCUUGUAUGUUGAAGGCUAUGAUGAUCCAGCUCUCCGUUUUAGCAGGCGAGGACAUCAAGAAAAUAACUUUCUGAACACGUUUCUUAUAAUGUUUGGGAUCUUUUUCGUGCUUGUGAUGAUCAGCACCAGCAGCCGCACGAGGGAGUAUAUACAACUUUCUGCACAAGCAAAAUGAUUCAUUUAAGCUUCCUUUGUUACUGAAGAUAGCAAUCGAUAUAUCCAAAGGCAUCAGUUACCUGUAUCAAAACAAUAUUAUCCACAGGGACGUGAAAACCGCCAAUCUUCUGAUGGAUGAGCACGACGUUGUGAAAGUUGCUGAUUUUGGAGUUGCAAGGGUGCAGACUGAAUCUGGAGUAAUGACGGCAGAAACCGGAACAUACAGGUGGAUGGCACCCGAGAUUGUGCCAAAAGUUAAUAGAUCGAAAAGGCUGCUGAUCCAAGUUUAGAAGAGGUAAGCAACGAAAGACACAACGGCUGUGCAAGUAAAGCAGGUACCCACAACACCGUUUCAUCGCUAUCCAUUGAUGGGGAAGUCUCUGGUGCGACCCCAAACUCCUGAGCCAUGGUUCCAGUACUGUUGAAGGCUAUGAGCACCAUAAUGGUGAGUGCAGUGGCUAGCUCGACACUUUCCAUUUCGGCGAGUGUAGAGAAAGAUAGGUUUAGUAGCUUGUACGAGUGUUGCAAUUGAAGUAGGAUUAGAGGUAGUUUAGUGGGGAUUAGUGGAGGAAUUUAACAGCUAAUAACAUUGUUAGUAUUAUUUAUGAAACAAAGCCUUUUCAUUUGAUAGGAAGUGAGUAUCAAAUUAGGAGACCUUUAAAAUAUUGAAACUGUAUCGGAAGCAUUUGAAUGAGGCAAAUGGUUCGAGUUUUGAUAACAAAAGUUUCUGUAAUCCACAUUGUCAUUGGCUUUUGUAACACCGUCUUUAUGAAGUUACUGGUUUAUUUCAAGUGAUUCAUAGAUUCAACAAAGCCCUUUUGGGAAUUUUUUUAUCUUCUUAGUUUCAUAUAUCUUUUAAGCACCCAAUUGCUGCUGGUAUUUGAUUUUAUAGGGCUUCUAAAAUCUCUGGAUUGCUGCUGCAUACAUCAGUACAUUAUUAUUUUCAAGGCAAUCUUGUGUUAGCAUAAUACAGUUAACUAUUUUUGUAGUGGGUUCAUCUUUUAGUCCUUUCAGCUAGAUUACUUAAUUAGCUUGUAUAUUUAUUUGCAUUUCUUUGUUUUCAUUGUAUGCACUUUUCAGAAUGAUAGAACCCUAUCAAUGUCUUUUUCUAAUCCUAUUUAAAUUGAGCUUUGGUUGGUCAAUUAUUGCAAGGAUGAGCAAAUGGUACUAGGUACCGGUUCAGAAUCGGUACUGAAUUUCUCGAACCUGUUCGAUUUUCAGUACCAGUUUUUACCUUCAAAUUCCGGUCCGUACCGGUAACGAACCGUAUCGUACCAGGUAUUUUUGGUACCGUUACCCAUUUUUUUUGGAUUUUCGGUAUCGUUUGGUACCGAGCUUAUCCCUAAUUUAUUGUACUGAUCAUGUGAUGACAUUUAGUUUAUGUUUGACUUUCUUGAUUGCACUCUGACCUAUACCAAAAACUUUAUUCAAUAAAAUGUUGCUUUUUGUUACAAGUUUUAUGAUUCAAAGCAGAUUGUUCCUAAUAGACCCUCUAUUAGUUCCUUUACUGCAAUUAUUUGAUGGGACAUGGCAAUCAUGAUGGGCUUUCCAAAAACCAAACAUGGAAAUUUGAGGUGCGAGGCGCUGUGGAAUACGAGAAAUCACUUCUGGAACAUGAUUCGAGAAAUCACCGAGUUUAAAGACAAUGUUUUGAGGUACUAGCAUACAUUUUGAAGGUUGUUUGUUGAUUGAAGGUGUGUUCUCAAGGCGGGAAACAUGGUUGCACUACCCAAGGGCAUUCCAUUCGCGUAUUCUUUUCGUUUAACUCAGAACCUUUAUUCAUCAUCAACUCUAUUUUUCUUCUUUCCCUUUUUGUCUUAAUCAUAUAAAGGCACCCGAACCCGAAAGAUUAAACCCAUUAAACCCUAAAUUAUAGGGUAAAUAAAUAUUACAUUCAUAUUCUCUUAAGAUUCUUUCUUGUGAAAUACAAAAAACUACUAGGUGUCUACUAUCAUUCUACAAUCUUUGUUUUUCAGUUUCAACAUGAAUCACUGAUGAUCGCAACUUAUUUUGUAAGAUAUGAAAUGCCGCAAAAGGAGGUGUUUUAACGAAUUUAGAAUUUAGAAACAUAUACACUGAGGGUGCUCUUCACUGAAUUCUUUCCUGCUUUUGAUUCUUUUUCUAAUUCAAGGAUGCUCUUCACUGAAUUUUGACGGUAUGUUAGGAAUUUUUACAAAACUUGCUAAUUUAAUUGGUGGAAACCUGUAUGCAACUUGUAGUUUUUAAUUUUGGCGGUUUGCAAUUGGAAUAUAGGUCUGGCCUUGUUGGAUUUUCGAGCAAUAGUAUUGCAUGGUCCAUAUGGCGACUUCAGAAACUGGCCUUGUAGGAAGCAAGCGGUGAAUAUUUUCGUUUGCUUUGGUUGUUGGUUGAUAGAAAUUGAUCAUUUUAGCCAUUUUUACUAUUUAAGUGUAAAGUAAACACUAAGAUAUGGUUGAGCAAAUAAAGUCGUUAAUACCUUUGUACUCAUUAACCCCUAAACAAACUACCCCUUUGAAUGAACUAUGUUAGGAUUAAAUCUUGUGCAUACAAUGGAUAAUAUGGAUAUAUGAUGUUUUUUGUUUGGUUUGUUUGAAGGGAUCUCAAGGGGCUAUCAUUGGAAGGAUUAGUGGUAGCUGAGAUAUGGAACCUCACCCUCCUUGAAUGCUACAGACUUUAGAUUUUUUUCUUCUUCUUUUAGAGUUUGGUAAUUUCUUUUUUUUUUUCGCAUUUGUAUUUUAUGGUUUAUUUAAAAAACACAACUUGUUGUAGUGUAACAUAUUGGAUUUUGAGAGUACCUUAACCGAAAAUU
This 3472-nucleotide long non-coding RNA is filed under the name Helianthus annuus (common sunflower). Its description in RNAcentral is "hypothetical non coding rna". Lineage: Eukaryota; Viridiplantae; Streptophyta; Magnoliopsida; Asterales; Asteraceae. The record is from RNAcentral.